AUGUUGCUGCGGUUAAAGGCUCGCAGUUGAAUGUCGGUUAAUAUACGCGUAGGGAUGCCGGGACGUUGCAAGCUCUGCUCGCCUCUGUGCAGCAUUGUGAGCCGUCUCUCCAAGUGCAUCUCUGGCGGGCUAACGAUUAGAUCGGUGGCACAGAGUGAGUCGCUCGUCGCGCCAUCCUUUCGGGGUUGGCCGGCGGGUCUCGUUCGCACGUGUCGCCGAUUGACACCUUGAGUAAAUCAGAGUGCUUAAAGCAGUCGUUGAAACACUACGGCUGCGACUUACCCUCUCGCGAGGCACGGGUCGUAUGUCUAUGGUGACGUCGUAAGACGUUUGGACAUUGUCUUUGCUUUGCAUGGUACGUCGGAAGACGCCGUGUGAGUUGGUUGCGCUUACGGUCAGACACACCAGCUGUGUGUGCGCGUGCACCAACGAGCUCGGAAUGAACUGAAAGGGAUGGCUCGAAGGCAUUGGUAUUGCGGGGCGAGAGGUGAAAUUCUAUGACCCCCGCAAGACUUCCCGAAGCGAAAGCGUCUGCCUAGGACGUCUUCAUUAAUCAUGAACGAAAGUUGAAGGAUCGAAGGCGAUCAGAUACCGCCCUAGUUGCAACCGUAAACGAUAUCAACCAUCAAUCCGUCAAAGCGUUCCCUUGCGUUCUCGUGGUCUGGCUUCGCGGCCGGCCUCGGGAGCAAAGUGUAAGCGCUUGAUGGGCAGCUCUUCUAUCACGGGAAACCAGAGUGUUUCGGUUCCGGGGGGAGUCUGGUUGCAAAGCUGAAACUUAAAGGAAUUGACGGAAAGGCACCACCAGGCGUGGAGCUUGCGGCUCAAUUUGACUCAACACGGGAAAUCUCACCAGACCCGAACAUCUCUAACGAUUGACAGAUUGAAAGCUCUUUCUUGAUGAAGUGGAUGGUGGUGCAUGGCCGUUCUUAGUUGGUGGAGUGAUCUGUCUGGUUAAUUCCGAUAACGAACGAGACUCUCCCCUGCUAACGGACCUCAGUGUUUUUUUAGACGGUGCGAUUCGGAUAAAGGGACCAUGGGCGUAAGCCCCGGUCUCAGACGACGUCCACUGAUCCUUGGUACGUUGGUGCAGUUCUCGCCGGUGAUGCUCGCCUCCUGUUCCGCUGUUAACCGGCGGGGCGUCUGGUGGUGCGGUGUCGCCGUGUGUGCGCUCACCGACAAAGUGCCUCGGAGUACGUUUCUUCUUAGAGGGAUUGACGACUUAUAAGUCGUAAGAAACAGGGAGCAAUAACAGGUCUGUGAUGCCCUUAGAUGUUCUGGGCUGCACGCGUGUUACAAUGCCGGUAUCAACGGGUUCUUACACUUUCAGUGGCCUACUCCGAAAGGAGCGGGUAAACCUUUGAAAUACCAACUGCAUACUUACCUCGUGUAAGGCGCAAUUACGGCAUGCUUGGGACUGGGGAUUGCAAUUAUUCCCCACGAACUAGGAAUGCCUUGUAGUGGCGGGUCACAGAACCCGCUGCGAAUCUGUCCCUGCCCUUUGUACACACCGCCCGUCGCUACUACCGAUUGAGUGUACCAGUGAGAUUUUUGGACUGGCGAACCGCGUUCCUCUAGGGGCUCGCGGCGUACGACAAUAAGAGACUCGAACUGGUGCACUAGAGAA
RNAcentral lists this ribosomal RNA (1624 nucleotides) under Hyperia macrocephala. Its description in RNAcentral is "bacterial SSU rRNA". It matches the Rfam family "Eukaryotic small subunit ribosomal RNA", at positions 607 to 1780 of the family's 1831-position model. Lineage: Eukaryota; Metazoa; Arthropoda; Malacostraca; Amphipoda; Hyperiidae. The record is from RNAcentral.